This 337-nucleotide ribosomal RNA is filed under the name uncultured bacterium. Its description in RNAcentral is "partial 16S ribosomal RNA". It matches the Rfam family "Bacterial small subunit ribosomal RNA", at positions 338 to 692 of the family's 1533-position model. The record is from RNAcentral.
CCUACGGGGAGCAGCAGUAAGGGAUAUUGGGCAAUGGGGGAAACCCUGAACCAGCAACGCCGCGUGAGGGAAGACGGUGUUCGGAGUGGAAACCUCUGUCCGCGGGGAAGAGGAUGACGGUAGCAGAGGAGGAAGCUCCGGCUAACGACGGGCCAGCAGCCGCGGUAAUACGUAGGGAGCGAGCGUUGUCCGGAUUUACUGGGUGUAAAGGGGGCGUAGGCGUCUUGGCAAGUCAGUAGUGAAAUCCAGGGGCUUAACCCAUGAACUGCUAUUGAAACUGUCGAGCUUGAGUGAAGUAGAGGUCGGCGGAAUUCCCGGUGUAGCGGUUCAAUGCGUA